GAGUAACAGGUGGGUAAUGUGCCUCCGAGUGGGGGGAUAACCCGUUGGAAACAGGGGCUAAUACCGCAUGUGGCUCGACGGGCUGAUGGGCUGUCGGGUUAAAGGUGCGCUUCGCGCGUGCCACUUGGAGAGCAGCCCGCUUCCGAUUAGCUUGUUGGUGGGGUAACGGCCUACCAAGGCAACGAUCGGUAGGUGGCCUGAGAGGGUGGUCACCCACACUGGGACUGAGAUACGGCCCAG
Molecule: ribosomal RNA, 240 nt
Filed under: uncultured bacterium
Lineage: Bacteria
Description: partial 16S ribosomal RNA
Rfam family: Bacterial small subunit ribosomal RNA
Source: RNAcentral